GACGAACGCUGGCGGCGUGCUUAACACAUGCAAGUCGAACGAAGUGGCGAACGGGUGAGUAAUACGGGGGUAACCUGCCCUCCUUCUUGGGAUAAGCCUUGGAAACGGGGUCUAAUACCGAAUAAAGGGGGAUGGGUUCGCGGCGUAUCAGGUUGUGGGUGGGGUGAUGGCCUACCAAGGCGGUGACGGGUAGCGGGCCUGAGAGGCCGACCUGCCACUGUGGGACGGUGAUGCGGCCCAGAGUCGUCAGCGGGGGAGAAGUGUGGGCUAUUGCACAAUGCGUGAUAGCCCCAUGCAGCGACUCCGCGUGGGGGCUGAGGGUUGUCGGGUUGUAAACGUCUUGCGCUAGCGAAUCGUUAGCUGGAGAAGAAGCGCCGGCUAACUACGUGCCAGCAGCCGCGGUAAUAC
RNAcentral lists this ribosomal RNA (408 nucleotides) under uncultured bacterium. Its description in RNAcentral is "partial 16S ribosomal RNA". It matches the Rfam family "Bacterial small subunit ribosomal RNA", at positions 28 to 526 of the family's 1533-position model. The record is from RNAcentral.